Acipenser ruthenus (sterlet) is the source of this 746-nucleotide long non-coding RNA. RefSeq lists it as uncharacterized. NCBI's taxonomy places the organism in Eukaryota, Metazoa, Chordata, Actinopteri, Acipenseriformes, Acipenseridae. The record is from RefSeq and is a predicted model, not a curated record. The transcript is spliced from 3 exons.
GGAAUUGAAUGGACACAGGAAGUUGGGCAUUUUGACUGACAGAUCUGAAUAGUAAACAACAGGAUUAUUUGGAACUCUAAAGGGAACACAGAAGGAAAAAGACAUGGCAGCCUGAUGGAAGGAAGUACCGGUCAGAAACUGAUAGCAAAGCUAAGGCAGCCCUCUCCGUGACCGACUCUCUCCAGAGGAGCAAACAGGCACCAACCAAGGGACGAACUGUCAGCUCCCUGUACACACCCGAGACGCGAGGUCCUACCCUACUUAAGUUAACCCUUUGCAGUCCAUUUAUUAAGAUUCUACGUAGUGGUGCUGUAGAGGGGGGAUCGAGCCCGAAGGGAGCAAAUACAAGCCUACCCUGGGACAAACAAACAGACUGGGGGUUCUUGGAUCGGUCACCUUCAACUUUACCUGUCCUUGUUGGCGUUUCUACCAGGACAGUAGGUGGCGACUUGGAUUAAGUACAGAACCUACAAACUGAGUUUUCUAGGCCUUUUGAGGCCCAGGUGAAUAUACUGGAACUAUUGUUUCACCAAACUGCUGCUUCUAUUGUUCGGGACUGUGUUGUGGUAAUAUAAUGUGUGGAAUUGAAUAAUUGUAAUAAUAAUAUUCCCCUGAAGUCACAAGUAGCCUGCUGACAAUGUUUUAUGGAAGGUUUUAGUGGUUUUACUUAGCACAGUUUUAGGUGUUUUUAGAAUAGGUUUUGUAUUGAGAUACCGUGCUAGGUGGUUGAAAGGGGAUUUUGCAAA